This 1321-nucleotide long non-coding RNA is filed under the name Homo sapiens (human). Its description in RNAcentral is "non-protein coding LRRC8C-DT:36". The record is from RNAcentral. Lineage: Eukaryota; Metazoa; Chordata; Mammalia; Primates; Hominidae.
GCAGGCCGCGCCGCCCGGGAACUUCCUCCCCUGCAGAGACCACCUCGCUCCCGGGACUCGCCAGCGAGGGAUGCCGCCGGCCGCCGGGGGCCUUCUCCAGGACCAGGAGAGAAAUCCUCUCUCCGCUUCACGACGCGGCCACUCCCACCCCUGAGACGCCCACCUGGCGGACUCUGAGGGAGGAUUCGGCUGCGUCUAAUACCACCUCCACCCCUCAUCCCUCACAAUGCGCGGAAAACCACAGGCGGCUGUGCGCGCAGCGUCGGCUCAGCCACCGCAGCUCCUCCCCUGGGAUGAAAAAGCACUCUGACGUCUUGAAAGCUGGCAGCUCUCUGUUUGGAAAAUCUCUGCCCAGUGAAAAAAUGUACCGACAAGAUUACUAAGUAACACAGUCUUCUGGGAAUGCCUUAUCAAUGCCAGCUAUUUGAAGAGCACCCAAAGUCAAACUAGUGCUCCGCGCUGGCAGUCUGGAAAAGGCAGAUAAACCAAAAAGGAUGGAGUUCAGAGACCUUCCAUGUUGAUGAACAAGAACACAUUCACCUGCUGUAGGGGUAGGUGUACCCCAAAACUCCACUGAUACAGAAGCUUCUAUACUCAAGACCCUUCUAUACUCAAGACCCUGGAUCUUACCCUAUAUAUCUCUUCAUCUGGCUAUUUAUUUGCAUCUUUUAAUAUAUCCUUUGUAAUAAACUAGUAAUCUAGAAAGCAAACUUUUCCUAGCUCUGUAGGCCAUUCUAGUAAAUGAUUAAACCUGAGGAGGAGUUAUGGGAACCUUUGAUUUGUAGACAAGUUGGACAAAAGUGGUAUAUAUCCUAAUAUAACAUGGGAACCUGCCACUUAUGAUUGGCGUGUGAAAUUGGGGGAUGGGGAAGCAGUCUUGUGGGACUGAGCCCUUAGCCUGUGGGGUCUAAUGCUAUCUUCAGGUAAUAUCAGAACUGAGUUAAAUUAUAGGAUACCAGUCAGUGUCCAUUGGAGAACUGAAUUAUUGUGAGGAGAAACCCACACAUUUGGUGGCUAAAAGUAUUGAUGUGAGUAGUAGCAUAUAGGAGUUUUUUGCUAUAUACAUAUGUAGUGUAAGUUUAAAGUAAAAAGUUUUGUAUUGUCAGGAGUGACUUCUUUGCACCUAAAUAUCACUGCUAUAACUGCGUUACUAAGGAAUAGUUGCUUGCUUUUAUGUAUUUGGCACCUGCAGCUACUGUUCUAAAAAGUUUGCAUGUGUUAACCUAUUAAUUAAAUCUACAAAUGACUGGCUGUACCCAUGAAGUGAGUUAUUCUAAAGACAAUGGAACAUUUAAAUGGUUUAGAAAUUUUUUGAUUAAAA